This 441-nucleotide unclassified non-coding RNA is filed under the name Hevea brasiliensis (rubber tree). The record is from RNAcentral. Lineage: Eukaryota; Viridiplantae; Streptophyta; Magnoliopsida; Malpighiales; Euphorbiaceae.
GGGCAAAUGAUUGUGCCUUUUUCUAGUGGUAUGAUCCACCAUGCUUUGGACAUGAGAACGAGAUCCUUGCUUUUUUGUUGAGGCUAAGAAAUUCACUGAAGGAGAAAGUAAAAGCCUUGAAGGAGCUCAUUAACAAAGUGACAGAUAAAUGAGUAGUGGUAAAUGAGAAGUGUGAGAAAAUGGAGACGCUUAGCAUUCAAUUACAAUUCAAUUACAAUGCAUAAUUGAAGAGCUGACAAGGUCGAAGGAAACAUUGCAAAUUCAAAUCUUGGAAUUGAAGAAAGAGUUGGGGUUGCAGAGGAGAAAGAGUGUGGUUUAUUUUGUGUUAGUUGUAUUGGUUGUGCUUUAUGUGUUGAAUUUGAAAAUGUAUGGUAAUAGGGUCAAUGGAACUGGGUUAUUUAUGUUGCAUUGAAUGUAAAGGGUUGUGUAUGUGGAUUUUUA